Molecule: unclassified non-coding RNA, 240 nt
Filed under: soil metagenome
Description: partial contains 5.8S ribosomal RNA, internal transcribed spacer 2, and large subunit ribosomal RNA
Source: RNAcentral
AACCUAGCACACCUGCGGUGUGUACCUGCGGAGGGAUCAUUACCAAUCAUGUCUCCCAGCCGCAAGGUUGGUGCAGGCGCUCAACCCUCUGUGAACCAAAAAACCUUUCGCUUCGGCAGCAGCUCGGUUGGCAACAACCUCCGCGUCAGCCUGCCGGUGGCACAAACCGUAAAAACUUGCAGUCAAGAACACUGUCUGAUUACCAAAUUUUCGAAUGAAAAUCAAAACUUUCAACAAUGG